GAUGAACGCUGGCGGCGUGCCUAAUACAUGCAAGUCGAGCGAACAGACGAGGAGCUUGCUCCUCUGACGUUAGCGACGGACGGGUGAGUAACAAGUGGAUAACCCAUCUAUAUGACUGAGAUUACUUCGGGAAAGCGGAGCUAAUACCGGGUAAUAUAUCUAACCGCAUGGUUUAAUAGUGAAUGAGGGUUUUGCUGUCACUUAUAGACGGAUCCGCGCCGCAUUAGCUAGUUGGUAGGGUAACGGCUUACCAAGUCAACGAUGCGUAGCCGACCUGAGAGGGUGAUGGGCGACCCGGGAGCUGAGACGCGGUCCAGGGCCCUACGGGAGGCACCAGUAGGGAAUCCACGGCAAUGGGCGGAAGCCUGACGGAGCGACGCCGCGUGGGUGCUGAAGGUCUUCGGGUCGUAAAACUCUGUUAUUGGGGAAGAACGAAUGUGUAAGUAACUAAGCACGUCUUGACGGUACCUAAUCAGGAAGCCACGGCUAACUACGUG
RNAcentral lists this ribosomal RNA (497 nucleotides) under uncultured bacterium. RNAcentral describes it as "partial 16S ribosomal RNA". It matches the Rfam family "Bacterial small subunit ribosomal RNA", at positions 28 to 507 of the family's 1533-position model. The record is from RNAcentral.